Molecule: ribosomal RNA, 1371 nt
Filed under: uncultured bacterium
Lineage: Bacteria
Description: bacterial SSU rRNA
Rfam family: Bacterial small subunit ribosomal RNA
Source: RNAcentral
GAUGAACGCUGGCGGCGUGCCUAAUACAUGCAAGUCGAGCGAACGGACGAGAAGCUUGCUUCUCUGAUGUUAGCGGCGGACGGGUGAGCAACACGUGGAUAACCUACCUAUAAGACUGGGAUAACUUCGGGAAACCGGAGCUAAUACCGGAUAAUAUUUUGAACCGCAUGGUUCAAAAGUGAAAGACGGUCUUGCUGUCACUUAUAGAUGGAUCCGCGCUGCAUUAGCUAGUUGGUAAGGUAACGGCUUACCAAGGCAACGAUGCAUAGCCGACCUGAGAGGGUGAUCGGCCACACUGGAACUGAGACACGGUCCAGACUCCUACGGGAGGCAGCAGUAGGGAAUCUUCCGCAAUGGGCGAAAGCCUGACGGAGCAACGCCGCGUGAGUGAUGAAGGUCUUCGGAUCGUAAAACUCUGUUAUUAGGGAAGAACAUAUGUGUAAGUAACUGUGCGCAUCUUGACGGUACCUAAUCAGAAAGCCACGGCUAACUACGUGCCAGCAGCCGCGGUAAUACGUAGGUGGCAAGCGUUAUCCGGAAUUAUUGGGCGUAAAGCGCGCGUAGGCGGUUUUUUAGUCUGAUGUGAAAGCCCACGGCUCAACCGUGGAGGGUCAUUGGAAACUGGAAAACUUGAGUGCAGAAGAGGAAAGUGGAAUUCCAUGUGUAGCGGUGAAAUGCGCAGAGAUAUGGAGGAACACCAGUGGCGAAGGCGACUUUCUGGUCUGUAACUGACGCUGAUGUGCGAAAGCGUGGGGAUCAAACAGGAUUAGAUACCCUGGUAGUCCACGCCGUAAACGAUGAGUGCUAAGUGUUAGGGGGUUUCCGCCCCUUAGUGCUGCAGCUAACGCAUUAAGCACUCCGCCUGGGGAGUACGACCGCAAGGUUGAAACUCAAAGGAAUUGACGGGGACCCGCACAAGCGGUGGGGCAUGUGGUUUAAUUCGAAGCAACGCGAAGAACCUUACCAAAUCUUGACAUCCUUUGACAACUCUAGAGAUAGAGCCUUCCCCUUCGGGGGACAAAGUGACAGGUGGUGCAUGGUUGUCGUCAGCUCGUGUCGUGAGAUGUUGGGUUAAGUCCCGCAACGAGCGCAACCCUUAAGCUUAGUUGCCAUCAUUAAGUUGGGCACUCUAAGUUGACUGCCGGUGACAAACCGGAGGAAGGUGGGGAUGACGUCAAAUCAUCAUGCCCCUUAUGAUUUGGGCUACACACGUGCUACAAUGGACAAUACAAAGGGCAGCGAAACCGCGAGGUCGAGCAAAUCCCAUAAAGUUGUUCUCAGUUCGGAUUGUAGUCUGCAACUCGACUACAUGAAGCUGGAAUCGCUAGUAAUCGUAGAUCAGCAUGCUACGGUGAAUACGUUCCCGGGUCU